AAAAGAUUUAGUCCUAACCUUACCAUUAGUUCUUACCAGGUGUAUACAUGCAAGUAUCCGCACCCCAGUGUAAAUGCCCACGGCCUCUUAUCAAGAACACAAGGAGCGGGCAUCAGGCACACACCCCUAUCGUAGCCUAAGACGCCUUGCCCAGCCACACCCCCACGGGUAUUCAGCAGUAACUAGCAUUGAGCUAUGAGCGAAAGCUUGACUCAGCCAUGGUGAUCCCAGGGUUGGUAAAUCUUGUGCCAGCCACCGCGGUCACACAAGAGACCCAAACUAAUCGUACACGGCGUAAAGAGUGGUACCACGCUAUCACACUAGCUAGGGCUAAAAUGCCACUGAGCUGUCACAAGCCCAAGUCGCACAUAAAACCCACGACUAAAGUGGCCCUAGCGCUCGUGACUAACUAACCCCCACGAAAGCCAGGGCACAAACUGGGAUUAGAUACCCCACUAUGCCUGGCCCUAAAUCUUGAUGUUUUCCCUACUAAAUCAUCCGCCUGAGGACUACGAGCACAAACGCUUAAAACUCUAAGGACUUGGCGGUGCCCCAAACCCACCUAGAGGAGCCUGUUCUAUAAUCGAUAACCCACGAUAUACCUGACCCUUCCUAGCCAAAGCAGCCUAUAUACCGCCGUCGCCAGCUCACCUUCCCUGAAAGCACAACAGUGAGCUCAAUAGCCUCCAACCCCGCUAACAAGACAGGUCAAGGUAUAGCCCAUGGGGGGGAAGAAAUGGGCUACAUUUCCUAGAAUAGAAAAUCCACGAAAAGGGGCAUGAAACUCCCCUGGAAGGCGGAUUUAGCAGUAAAGCGGGACAAUAGCGCCCCCUUUAAGUCGGCCCUGGGGCACGUACACACCGCCCGUCACCCUCCUCACAAGCUACUCGUCCCAUAAAUAAUACGCAUUCCAGCUGAAGACGAGGUAAGUCGUAACAAGGUAAGUGUACCGGAAGGUGCACUUAGCAUAC
RNAcentral lists this non-coding RNA (971 nucleotides) under Buceros rhinoceros silvestris. Its description in RNAcentral is "12S ribosomal RNA". It matches the Rfam family "Bacterial small subunit ribosomal RNA". The record is from RNAcentral. Lineage: Eukaryota; Metazoa; Chordata; Aves; Bucerotiformes; Bucerotidae.